UACGGGGGGGGCAAGCGUUGUUCGGAAUUACUGGGCGUAAAGGGCUCGUAGGCGGCCAACUAAGUCGGACGUGAAAUCCCUCGGCUUAACCGGGGAACUGCGUCCGAUACUGGAUGGCUUGAGUUUGGGAGAGGGAUGCGGAAUUCCAGGUGUAGCGGUGAAAUGCGUAGAUAUCUGGAGGAACACCGGUGGCGAAGGCGGCAUCCUGGACCAAUUCUGACGCUGAGGAGCGAAAGCCAGGGGAGCAAACGGG
Molecule: ribosomal RNA, 253 nt
Filed under: uncultured bacterium
Lineage: Bacteria
Description: partial 16S ribosomal RNA
Rfam family: Bacterial small subunit ribosomal RNA
Source: RNAcentral